AGAAACUUAGGUUAGACAAAACCAAGAGCCUUCAAAGCCCUAAACAGAGGACAAACGCCCCUAGUUUCUG
This 70-nucleotide transfer RNA is filed under the name Bavayia centralis. Its description in RNAcentral is "tRNA-Trp". The record is from RNAcentral. Lineage: Eukaryota; Metazoa; Chordata; Lepidosauria; Squamata; Diplodactylidae.